UGCGUAGGUGGUCGGGUAAGUUUGAGGUGAAAGCUCCGGGCUCAACCCGGAAAUGGCCUCGAAUACUAUCUGGCUCGAGGGUUGGAGGGGGGACUGGAAUUCUCGGUGUAGCAGUGAAAUGCGUAGAUAUCGAGAGGAACACCAGUGGCGAAGGCGAGUCCCUGGACAACACCUGACACUGAGGCACGAAAGCUAGGGGAGCAAACG
Molecule: ribosomal RNA, 207 nt
Filed under: uncultured bacterium
Lineage: Bacteria
Description: partial 16S ribosomal RNA
Rfam family: Bacterial small subunit ribosomal RNA
Source: RNAcentral